AGCUCCAAUAGCGUAUAUUAAAGUUGUUGCAGUUAAAAAGCUCGUAGUUGGAUUUCUGUUCAAGACGACUGGUCCAUCUCUUGGAUGUGUAUCUGGUUUGUCUUGGGCAUUUUGAUGGGGGGUGUAUCUGCACUUGACUGUGUGGUGCAUUUGCCAUCGCUUUUACUUUGAGGAAAUUAGAGUGUUUCAAGCAGGCAUAUGCCUUGAAUACAUUAGCAUGGAAUAAUAAUACAGGACCUUGGAUCUUUUUUGUUGGUUUCUGGAACCAAGGUAAUGAUUAAUAGGGAUAAUUGGGGGCAUUCGUAUUCAACUGUCAGAGGUGAAAUUCUUGGAUUUGUUGAAGACGAUCUACUGCGAAAGCAUUUGCCAGGGAUGUUUUCA
This 381-nucleotide ribosomal RNA is filed under the name uncultured eukaryote. RNAcentral's name for it is "SSU rRNA". It matches the Rfam family "Eukaryotic small subunit ribosomal RNA", at positions 587 to 972 of the family's 1831-position model. The record is from RNAcentral.